GACGAACGCUGGCGGCGUGCUUAACACAUGCAAGUCGAACGGAAAGGCCCUGCUUUUGUGGGGUGCUCGAGUGGCGAACGGGUGAGUAACACGUGAGUAACCUGCCCUUGACUUUGGGAUAACUUCAGGAAACUGGGGCUAAUACCGGAUAGGAGCUCCUGCUGCAUGGUGGGGGUUGGAAAGUUUCGGCGGUUGGGGAUGGACUCGGGGCUUAUCAGCUUGUUGGUGGGGUAGUGGCUUACCAAGGCUUUGACGGGUAGCCGGCCUGGGAGGGUGACCGGCCACAUUGGGACUGAGAUACGGCCCAGACUCCUACGGGAGGCAGCAGUGGGGAAUAUUGCACAAUGGGCGGAAGCCUGAUGCAGCAACGCCGCGUGCGGGAUGACGGCCUUCGGGUUGUAAACCGCUUUCGCCUGUGACGAAGCGUGAGUGACGGUAAUGGGUAAAGAAGCACCGGCUAACUACGUG
Molecule: ribosomal RNA, 468 nt
Filed under: uncultured bacterium
Lineage: Bacteria
Description: partial 16S ribosomal RNA
Rfam family: Bacterial small subunit ribosomal RNA
Source: RNAcentral